RNAcentral lists this long non-coding RNA (1087 nucleotides) under Marmota monax (woodchuck). The record is from RNAcentral. Lineage: Eukaryota; Metazoa; Chordata; Mammalia; Rodentia; Sciuridae.
CACUGCUCUGGGGAGGGCAGAGGGCAGGCUGUCAGGGAAUCUACCCAAACUAAGAGAUAAGCAGAGCCAGUAUGAGGGACAUCUCAUGGCUGUCUGGGGCCCAGAGGUUGCUCUACUCCUGAGAAGGUUCUUUUUGGCCAAACCAGCCUUGAAGACAAAAAUUACACACUCCUUUUUGAGCAGAGUGACUGGAACACUUGGGGACUACCUCAGGGAAGCUAUCUACCAGCAGUAGGGAGCAGUAACGGGGCCAUGGAUAUCAGAGGGGCCAGGAGUGGAGCAGUGGCUUCUCAGGCCCCUGGACAUACUGCAAGGUGCUGGGUGGGGUGCAGGGCCCAUCGAAGGUACUAAGGUUCCAAGGGCAGGAAAGAGAGCACGCCUGAGCUGGACUCCUCCGGAGCCUCACUGGAUGACCCUGAAUUUCCACGGGGCAAUUAACUUAUUUGUUCAUGUUCAUUUUUAUUCAUUCAACCAACAUAUAUUUACUGAAUACUUACUGUGUGCCAAGCACUGUGCUGGCAGUGAGUGAGACAGCAAGGAAGCCUAUCGUCAAAGAGCACUGUGUACUGAGAAACCAGUACGGGAGGAACAAUAACACAAAGGAGAGUGGCCUGACUACUGUGAUGGUGCCGCAAAAGAAAGGGGCACGAAGUGCUAGGGCCAUUCAACCCAGCCAGAGGGUAAGAUAAGGCGACACUGAGAUCUGAAGGAGGGCCGGAGGUCACUAGUGAGUGCAGUGGAGGAUGGAGUGCGUCACGGAGACACGUCUGCAUCAAGACCAUUUUUGGGCCCCCAGCCCACAGCUAGCUUCUGGUGCCCCUCCGUGUGGUCAUGUGACUCAACUGUGGUCAGUGCAAUGUGGGCACAAGUCAGGCACAGCCCACACCCAAAUCUCCCGCAGAGCCUCCGCUUUCUCACCACACUCCCACCACCGACCAUCUACCCACCAGAUACACAGGACCAAGAAGGGGACUCUUAAGACCCCACAUGAUGACACAGCCAUGGCCAGAGGGACUUGGGUCUCUGGAUAAUCAUAUGGAAGGCCACAACCUGCCAACCAGGAUUAUCCACAGUGGACUUUGUAAAG